AUGGCGGCCGGGCUGGGGCCGGGGCUGCUGGCCUUGGCCUUGGCCUUGUGGCCGGCAGGGCUCUGGGCACAGCCGAGGCUGCAGGAGGCCGGCGGAGGGCAGCGAGCGCCCGGGGACUCCGUCACCCUCUCCUGCCGUGGAUACGGAUUCACCUUCGAAAAUUAUUAUAUUUACUGGUACCGUCCGGCACCCGGAGGCAGCCUGGACCGGGUGUCCUUUAUCAGCUCCCCUACGGGCAGUAUACAGGACUAUGGGGCAGCAGUGCAGGGUCGGGCCAAGGUUUCCCGGGACAAUUCUCGGUCCGAGGCUUAUCUCACACUGCAGUCCCUGCAAGUUCAGGACUCUGCCCGGUACUUCUGUGCCGCCACACGGGGACAGGAAACCCAGCUGAGCUUUAACACAAACCUCCUGGGCUCUGGCAGAGGUUGUGUUAAAUGUGGGGAAGGUGAGAGCUGCCAGGGGCCGGGAGCUAAUGGGUCUCGAGGCUGUUUGCAAGAAUUCAGGUGCCAUCACUGUGCACCACAGGCAUUCCUGGCCUUUACUGCACACUGCAGGGAUUCUGAUUUAUUGCCAGUUUGAUUAAGAGUAGAAUUAUGUGCAAUGAGAAAAUACCUUGCUCCCACUUUAUCCCUGUUUGUUCCCGGGCUCAUCCUCAAAGCAGCAUUCCUGAAUUCUUUGCCUCUUCUCUCCAAAAAUCAAAGGGACAACAGGAAAUCAGGUGUGGGAUCAUUUCUUAACCAUUAAUCACUGGUCCUCAUCUCUAGUGCUUCUUGUUCCUUUCCUCCCUCCGUCUGCAGUCGAAUGGCUGCACCAUGGUUCCUUCACAAGAGCUGCUGUCCUUCAGAAUCAACCCUCUCCAGCCUCAGUUGUCCACAGGCUCCCCUUCCCCAGUGCCAUGACCAAACAGUUUGUGAUUAUCUCAAGGCACUGAGACUCCAGAAGGUGCCUGAGCAGCCUGUGCCAGUGGUUGGGCAUCCUCACAGUGUGAAAGAGCAUUUCUCUCUGAUGUUCACUAAGAACCUCUUGUGGUUUUUGUUUGUGCUUACUGCUCAUUGUCCUGUCAAUGGGCAUCACUGAGAAGAGCCUGGCCACCUCUUCAUGUUUCUAUGCACUUAUGACAAGCCCAAGACUUAAGACAACCCAAAGCACGUUCUGCUUCUUCAUGGUAAACAGGGCCAGCUAUGACAGCUUGUUUAACUUGGAGAGGUGUUCCACUUCAACAGAUGAAAAACAAAGAAAGCAGAGUCUGCAAGGCAAAAGAAAUAAAUUUACUUCCUAGUUCUCCAUCGAUAGGCAGGUGUUUAGUCAUUUCUAGGAAAAUGGUCUUUCUCUCACAGGAUGAUUCCUUGGGAAGACAAAGGCCAUAACUCCAAAUGUUCCCCUUCCUCCUUUCCCUGAGUUUAUAUCUGAGAACCGUGUAUUACAGAGUGUGAUAUCCCUUUGCUCAGCUGGCAACAGUGGUGCUUCUGUGUCCCAUCGCAGCUUGUUGCCCAACCCCAGGCAUUCCGUGGCGAGAGAGUGGGAAAAACAAAAAAGACCUCUGCACACUGUUCAGCAAGAGAUGAAAGAGUCUCGUGUCUAUAACGCUCUUUGCUCAGAAAGAGAAAAUAAAGCCUCUUAUGCC
Molecule: non-coding RNA, 1624 nt
Organism: Catharus ustulatus (Swainson's thrush)
Lineage: Eukaryota; Metazoa; Chordata; Aves; Passeriformes; Turdidae
Source: the annotation of a RefSeq genome assembly